RNAcentral lists this ribosomal RNA (362 nucleotides) under uncultured bacterium. Its description in RNAcentral is "partial 16S ribosomal RNA". It matches the Rfam family "Bacterial small subunit ribosomal RNA", at positions 362 to 764 of the family's 1533-position model. The record is from RNAcentral.
UCCUGGAAAAUGGGGGAAACCCUGAUCCCCCCCUGCCGGAAAGUUAUUAAGUCCGGAAAGAAUGUGAAGGUGUUUUGUGUUGUAAGAUAAUGACGGUACCGCAAGAAUAAGCCCCGGCUAACUUCGUGCCAGCAGCCGCGGUAAUACGAAGGGGGCAAGCGUUGCUCGGAAUCACUGGGCGUAAAGGGUGCGCAGGCGGUUUUUCAAGUCAGAGGUAAAUCCCGGGGCUCAACUCCGAACUGCCUUUGUACUGGAAUCUUAGUUUGGAGGGGGGGGUGAAUUGCAGUGAGCGGUAAAUUCGAAUUUGGAAGAACACCAAGUGGAAGGAGCUCCCUGCCCACUCUGCGUGUACAAAUCGUCUU